UGAACGCUGGCGGCAGGCUUAACACAUGCAAGUCGAGCGGUAACAGAUCUAGCUUGCUAGAUGCUGACGAGCGGCGGACGGGUGAGUAACGCGUAGGAAUCUACCUAGUAGUUUGGGAUAGCCAUUGGAAACGAUGAUUAAUACCGGAUAAUCUCUUCGGAGCAAAGCAUGGGACCUUCGGGCCAUGCGCUAUUAGAUGAGCCUGCGUUGGAUUAGCUAGUUGGUGGGGUAAUGGCCUACCAAGGCGACGAUCUAUAGCUGGUCUGAGAGGAUGAUCAGCCACACUGGAACUGAGACACGGUCCAGACUCCUACGGGAGGCAGCAGUGGGGAAUAUUGCACAAUGGGCGAAAGCCUGAUGCAGCCAUGCCGCGUGUGUGAAGAAGGCUCUAGGGUUGUAAAGCACUUUCAGUUGGGAGGAAAAGUUGUACGUUAAUAGCGUGCAGCCGUGACGUUACCAACAGAAGAAGCACCGGCUAACUCCGUGCCAGCAGCCGCGGUAAUACGGAGGGUGCAAGCGUUAAUCGGAAUUACUGGGCGUAAAGCGCGCGUAGGCGGCUUGUUAAGCCAGAUGUGAAAGCCCCGGGCUCAACCUGGGAACUGCAUUUGGAACUGGCAAGCUAGAGUGUGUGAGAGGUGAGUGGAAUUUCCUGUGUAGCGGUGAAAUGCGUAGAUAUAGGAAGGAACAUCAGUGGGCGAAGGCGACUCACUGGCACAACACUGACGCUGAGGUGCGAAAGCGUGGGUAGCAAACGGGAUUAGAUACCCCGGUAGUCCACGCCGUAAACGAUGUCUACUAGCCGUUGGGAACCUUGUGUUCUUAGUGGCGCAGCUAACGCAAUAAGUAGACCGCCUGGGGAGUACGGUCGCAAGAUUAAAACUCAAAUGAAUUGACGGGGGCCCGCACAAGCGGUGGAGCAUGUGGUUUAAUUCGACGCAACGCGAAGAACCUUACCUACUCUUGAAAUCCAGAGAAUUCGUCAGAGAUGACUUAGUGCCUUCGGGAACUCUGUGACAGGUGCUGCAUGGCUGUCGUCAGCUCGUGUUGUGAAAUGUUGGGUUAAGUCCCGUAACGAGCGCAACCCCUAUCUUUAGUUACCAGCGAUUCGGUCGGGAACUCUAAAGAGACUGCCGGUGACAAACCGGAGGAAGGCGGGGACGACGUCAAGUCAUCAUGGCCCUUACGAGUAGGGCUACACACGUGCUACAAUGGCAUAGACAGAGGGUUGCGAACCAGCGAUGGUAAGCCAAUCCCACAAACUAUGUCGUAGUCCGGAUUGGAGUCUGCAACUCGACUCCAUGAAGUCGGAAUCGCUAGUAAUCGUAGAUCAGAAUGCUACGGUGAAUACGUUCCCGGGCCUUGUACACACCGC
RNAcentral lists this ribosomal RNA (1372 nucleotides) under uncultured Gammaproteobacteria bacterium. Its description in RNAcentral is "uncultured gamma proteobacterium 16S ribosomal RNA". It matches the Rfam family "Bacterial small subunit ribosomal RNA", at positions 30 to 1393 of the family's 1533-position model. Lineage: Bacteria; Pseudomonadati; Pseudomonadota; Gammaproteobacteria. The record is from RNAcentral.